Long non-coding RNA from Carassius auratus (goldfish), 1572 nucleotides. The record is from Ensembl. NCBI's taxonomy places the organism in Eukaryota, Metazoa, Chordata, Actinopteri, Cypriniformes, Cyprinidae.
UAGAGAUCUAUCCCUUUGUUGGUUAGAUGUCUUUUGUCCUUUAUUCCAACCCAUUUUCUCUUUUGUGAAAUGAUGUAUAUAUGAGACUAGUACUUCUUGUUUUGUUUAACAUUUCAAGAGUAUACACUUUAAAGGAGAAUACACUCAGCUGAUCAUAUAAUGUACAUUCUUUCUGCUUGGCUUUUGGAGCCCUAAUAAUUUAUGGGUUAUUUAUGAAAACACUGGCUGAAUGGACAUUAUUGCACUUGGACAUUGUUACAUGGCUACUCAAUAGUACAGUUGAGUAUUCCAGCAAGCUGUGUGUUAAUGUGGUGUGUAUUCUUCUCAUUUUAGCUCCUGCGUCCAUUUGGGCUGAAGGUCAAGACAGAACCAAACCAAAGCUGGACUGUAACCUACUGGCCUAUAUGACAGACUUCAUACUGACAGCUACUGGCAUGGAUGCUGCAUCACAUGUUUUUGAACAAAAAAAUUUCCCUUUGAAUUUCAAGUGUGGAGUAUUCAUCCCCCAUGAGGAGACUCUAUGUCUUCAUCUCUUACAUGAACAUCAUUGCUGCGGGGAAUAAAAGAAAGAACAGACAACCAGAGUCUUGUGUGCGUCGUCCAUUCAAAAUCUGUGACGGUUGUGUGGGAUGCGUUAAGGCCACAUUGGGGACAACAAUCGUGACACUGGAGCCGUGAUUCUUUUGGAUCCCUGAUCAGCUCGAUGCAGAUCGGCCGUGGUUGCUGCUCCUCAGCUGUGUUUGAAUCCUGUUUGUAUCUUCAGUGUUAUGGCCAAAGACAGUUAACGCAUACACAAAACAUGACCACAGCUGAGUGAUUAUCGAUGACCUAACACAGUUUGAAUAAGGACUUUUGAGCACACUUACACUGAUAUAGUUUUUUUUUUUUCUUUACUUUUUAUACAUAUUUUCUAAGUGGAGUGUUGUUUUAGUGUCUCAUUAUUCUCUUUUUGCGGUCUAUAAUACAUAUUCAUUUAUAACUUGUAAGUAACUGUGACUAAGAUAUGACUGAAAACAAUCACUAUGAUACUGAAAUGGACAGGAUAUUCAUGGAAGCCGCUGGUUUUCCCAGAGGGAGAGGUGCUUGGCUCGCUGGAGCUUCUGGGAAUGAUGUUUUUAGUGAUGGUGGCAGAAGGGGGGUGGGUCAGUCAAGGUCUCACAAUGACCACAUUGGGGGUCAUGGUUUACAGAUAACAGAUAAUUCUCCUGUUGGUCGUGCCACAGCUGAGUUCCUUUGAACUUCGACACCUUAUACUGAGAGGGAUGCUCUUAGCCACCUCACAGAUAUGAUGGGCCAGUUAGGUACGCAGAUUGAAGAAACAGUCGUCUCCAGGCUGCUUUCAUGAGUGGAGAGCUAAAGAUAUACAGAGCAGAAUUGAUGACUAUCAAAGAGAAUACACAGUUCGUGCUGGUGCGUAUUGUAAAGAGCCACACUUCAGCUGCGCUUAAUAAGGAACAUACUGAGCAUAAUCACCUUGUCAGCUUUUCGCAGUCUGCUAUUCAGGAUGCAUCAGUUUUCCAUUGGCUGGGGGAAGAAACUCUUCCUGAGUGUCAUGGGUUUUUGCCAUUAGGC